AUCGAACGCUGGCGGCAUGCUUUACACAUGCAAGUCGAACGGCAGCGCGGGCUUCGGCCUGGCGGCGAGUGGCGAACGGGUGAGUAAUGCAGCGGAACGUGCCCAGUAGUGGGGGAUAGCGCGGCGAAAGCCGGAUUAAUACCGCAUACGACCUGAGGGUGAAAGCGGGGGACCGAAAGGCCUCGCGCUAUUGGAGGGGCCGAUGUCGGAUUAGCUGGUUGGUGGGGUAAAGGCUUACCAAGGCGACGAUCCGUAGCUGGUCUGAGAGGACGACCAGCCACACUGGGACUGAGACACGGCCCAGACUCCUACGGGAGGCAGCAGUGGGGAAUUUUGGACAAUGGGGGCAACCCUGAUCCAGCCAUGCCGCGUGCGGGAAGAAGGCCUUCGGGUUGUAAACCGCUUUUGUUCGGGAAGAAAUCCUCUGGGCUAAUACCCCGGGGGGAUGACGGUACCGGAAGAAUAAGCACCGGCUAACUACGUG
Molecule: ribosomal RNA, 484 nt
Filed under: uncultured bacterium
Lineage: Bacteria
Description: partial 16S ribosomal RNA
Rfam family: Bacterial small subunit ribosomal RNA
Source: RNAcentral